RNAcentral lists this signal recognition particle RNA (99 nucleotides) under Oscillospiraceae bacterium MB24-C1. RNAcentral describes it as "signal recognition particle sRNA small type". It matches the Rfam family "Bacterial small signal recognition particle RNA". Rfam says of the family: The signal recognition particle (SRP) is a universally conserved ribonucleoprotein involved in the co-translational targeting of proteins to membranes. Archaeal SRP consists of a 7S RNA and homologues of the eukaryotic SRP19 and SRP54 proteins. The record is from RNAcentral. RNAcentral also lists the same sequence under 1 other name. Lineage: Bacteria; Bacillati; Bacillota; Clostridia; Eubacteriales; Oscillospiraceae.
AUGUGGAUCCUGUGCGACGAGGUUCUGUGAACCAUGUCAGGCGGGGAACCGAGCAGCAUUAAGCGGAGUGCCUUGUGUGCCGCAGGUAAUCUGCAUCCC